CCUACGGGUGGCUGCAGUGAGGAAUAUUGGUCAAUGGGCGCGAGCCUGAACCAGCCAAGUAGCGUGAAGGAUGACUGCCCUACGGGUUGUAAACUUCUUUUAUUAGGGAAUAAAGUGAGGCCCGUGUGCCUUGUUGUAUGUGUUUUAUGAAUAAGGAUAGGUUAAAUCUGUGCGAGCACCCGCGGUAAUACGGAGGGUCCGGGCGUUAUCCGGAUUUAUUGGGUUUAAAGGGAGCGUAGAUGGGUUGUUAAGGCAGUUGGGAAAGUUCGCGGCUCAACCGUAAGAUUGCAGUUGAAACUGGCAGCCUUGAGUGCACGUGAGGUAGGCGGAAUUCGUGGUGUAGCGGUGAAAUGCUUAGAUAUCACGAAGAACUCCGAUUGCGAAGGCAGCAUACCAGGGUGCCACUGACGCUGAGGCUCGAAAGUGUGGGUAUCAAACAGGAUUAGAUACCCGAGUAGUC
RNAcentral lists this ribosomal RNA (460 nucleotides) under uncultured bacterium. Its description in RNAcentral is "partial 16S ribosomal RNA". It matches the Rfam family "Bacterial small subunit ribosomal RNA", at positions 338 to 795 of the family's 1533-position model. The record is from RNAcentral.